UGCGUUAUUCUCUCCUAGCUCAACGCAUGAAGAGUUGGGGAGUAAUUCUGUCAAAAUAAAAAUAAAAAUGUGUCUUUUUAAAAAAAGAAAAGGCAGAAGAGGCUCCACAAAUAACAUGUAAACAUGUGACAUUUAUUAAUUUUAUUCUGCAUCCCUACCUAAAGAUUCACUUGGUCGAUCGUGCAUGAUCCAUAAUUUCAUUUACAUGGCAUGAUUUGUCAUGACAGUUUGGCAUGAAACACCGUCUUCUACAAGCUACAGCUACACAGGUUGCAUGCACCAUGUGUCUUCUUCAAUCAUUAUGGGUCGAUCUGCCU
RNAcentral lists this long non-coding RNA (317 nucleotides) under Populus trichocarpa (black cottonwood). RNAcentral's name for it is "long non-coding RNA (PTRI_LNC004041)". Lineage: Eukaryota; Viridiplantae; Streptophyta; Magnoliopsida; Malpighiales; Salicaceae. The record is from RNAcentral.